RNAcentral lists this ribosomal RNA (1046 nucleotides) under Escherichia coli. Its description in RNAcentral is "partial 23S ribosomal RNA". It matches the Rfam family "Bacterial large subunit ribosomal RNA", at positions 840 to 1869 of the family's 2925-position model. Lineage: Bacteria; Pseudomonadati; Pseudomonadota; Gammaproteobacteria; Enterobacterales; Enterobacteriaceae. The record is from RNAcentral.
GGGAGAUAGCUGGUUCUCCCCGAAAGCUAUUUAGGUAGCGCCUCGUGAAUUCAUCUCCGGGGGUAGAGCACUGUUUCGGCAAGGGGGUCAUCCCGACUUACCAACCCGAUGCAAACUGCGAAUACCGGAGAAUGUUAUCACGGGAGACACACGGCGGGUGCUAACGUCCGUCGUGAAGAGGGAAACAACCCAGACCGCCAGCUAAGGUCCCAAAGUCAUGGUUAAGUGGGAAACGAUGUGGGAAGGCCCAGACAGCCAGGAUGUUGGCUUAGAAGCAGCCAUCAUUUAAAGAAAGCGUAAUAGCUCACUGGUCGAGUCGGCCUGCGCGGAAGAUGUAACGGGGCUAAACCAUGCACCGAAGCUGCGGCAGCGACACUAUGUGUUGUUGGGUAGGGGAGCGUUCUGUAAGCCUGUGAAGGUGUACUGUGAGGUAUGCUGGAGGUAUCAGAAGUGCGAAUGCUGACAUAAGUAACGAUAAAGCGGGUGAAAAGCCCGCUCGCCGGAAGACCAAGGGUUCCUGUCCAACGUUAAUCGGGGCAGGGUGAGUCGACCCCUAAGGCGAGGCCGAAAGGCGUAGUCGAUGGGAAACAGGUUAAUAUUCCUGUACUUGGUGUUACUGCGAAGGGGGGACGGAGAAGGCUAUGUUGGCCGGGCGACGGUUGUCCCGGUUUAAGCGUGUAGGCUGGUUUUCCAGGCAAAUCCGGAAAAUCAAGGCUGAGGCGUGAUGACGAGGCACUACGGUGCUGAAGCAACAAAUGCCCUGCUUCCAGGAAAAGCCUCUAAGCAUCAGGUAACAUCAAAUCGUACCCCAAACCGACACAGGUGGUCAGGUAGAGAAUACCAAGGCGCUUGAGAGAACUCGGGUGAAGGAACUAGGCAAAAUGGUGCCGUAACUUCGGGAGAAGGCACGCUGAUAUGUAGGUGAAGUCCCUCGCGGAUGGAGCUGAAAUCAGUCGAAGAUACCAGCUGGCUGCAACUGUUUAUUAAAAACACAGCACUGUGCAAACACGAAAGUGGACGUAUACGGUGUGACGCCUGCCCGGUGC